RNAcentral lists this small nucleolar RNA (131 nucleotides) under Sciurus vulgaris (Eurasian red squirrel). RNAcentral describes it as "Small Cajal body specific RNA 8 (ENSSVLG00005022222.1)". It matches the Rfam family "Small Cajal body specific RNA 8". From Rfam's summary of the family: scaRNAs are a specific class of small nuclear RNAs which localise to the Cajal bodies and guide the modification of RNA polymerase II transcribed spliceosomal RNAs U1, U2, U4, U5 and U12. U92 belong to the H/ACA box class of guide RNAs as it has the predicted hairpin-hinge-hairpin-tail structure, conserved H/ACA-box motifs and is found associated with GAR1. The record is from Rfam by way of RNAcentral. Lineage: Eukaryota; Metazoa; Chordata; Mammalia; Rodentia; Sciuridae.
UGGGAGGCUGAUACACAAAUUGGGCUGAAAUACUGCUCUACUUGUCACCAUACCUCCGUAGAAUAAAUUGCCUUUUGAUGACCGGGACGAAUUGAGUGAAAUCGUAACGGACAGAUACGGGGCAGACAAUU